This 422-nucleotide ribosomal RNA is filed under the name Vibrio aestuarianus. Its description in RNAcentral is "partial 23S ribosomal RNA". It matches the Rfam family "Bacterial large subunit ribosomal RNA", at positions 1 to 473 of the family's 2925-position model. Lineage: Bacteria; Pseudomonadati; Pseudomonadota; Gammaproteobacteria; Vibrionales; Vibrionaceae. The record is from RNAcentral.
GGUUAAGUGACUAAGCGUACACGGUGGAUGCCUUGGCAGUCAGAGGCGAUGAAGGACGUAUUAACUUGCGAGAAGAUGAGAUUAAGCAGUAAAAGGCACUGACAUCAACGGUUACCGAAGGAGGAAACCCACUAGCAUCAGCUAGUAUCGCCUCGUGAAUACAUAGCGCAGCGAGGAGAACUCGGGGAACUGCAACUUCUAAGUACCCGAAGGAAAAGAAAUCCACUGAGAUUCCGGAUGUAGCGGCGAGCGAGAUUGGACUCGCCCUUAAGCUUUAAAUGAUGCAGGUGAACCCACUGGAAAGCGUGGCAAUAAAGGGUGAUAGCCCCGUAACCGACACGUCAUUCUAAGUGAAAACGAUUAAGGCGUGACACGUGAUAUCCUGUUUGAAUAUGGGGGGACCAUCCUCCAAGGCUAAAUAC